This 2915-nucleotide ribosomal RNA is filed under the name Vibrio campbellii. Its description in RNAcentral is "23S ribosomal RNA". It matches the Rfam family "Bacterial large subunit ribosomal RNA". Lineage: Bacteria; Pseudomonadati; Pseudomonadota; Gammaproteobacteria; Vibrionales; Vibrionaceae. The record is from RNAcentral.
GUUGUAUGGUUAAGUGACUAAGCGUACACGGUGGAUGCCUUGGCAGUCAGAGGCGAUGAAGGACGUAUUAACUUGCGAUAAGCCCAGAUUAGGUAGUAAAAACCACUUGAGUCUGGGAUUUCCGAAUGGGGAAACCCACUAGCAUAAGCUAGUAUCGCUGCGUGAAUACAUAGCGCAGCGAGGCGAACCGGGGGAACUGAAACAUCUAAGUACCCCGAGGAAAAGAAAUCAACCGAGAUUCCGAAAGUAGCGGCGAGCGAAAUUGGACUAGCCCUUAAGCUUUUUAUGCGUCAGGUGAAACUUCUGGAAAGUUGUGCGAUACAGGGUGAUAGCCCCGUAACCGGCAACGCAUUUUAAGUGAAAUCGAGUAGGGCGGGACACGUGAUAUCCUGUCUGAAUAUGGGGGGACCAUCCUCCAAGGCUAAAUACUACUGACUGACCGAUAGUGAACCAGUACCGUGAGGGAAAGGCGAAAAGAACCCCUGUGAGGGGAGUGAAAUAGAACCUGAAACCGUGUACGUACAAGCAGUAGGAGCACCUUCGUGGUGUGACUGCGUACCUUUUGUAUAAUGGGUCAGCGACUUAUAUUCAGUGGCAAGGUUAACCAUCUAGGGGAGCCGUAGGGAAACCGAGUCUUAACUGGGCGUUCAGUCUCUGGAUAUAGACCCGAAACCAGGUGAUCUAGCCAUGGGCAGGUUGAAGGUUGAGUAACAUCAACUGGAGGACCGAACCGACUAAUGUUGAAAAAUUAGCGGAUGACUUGUGGCUAGGGGUGAAAGGCCAAUCAAACCUGGAGAUAGCUGGUUCUCCCCGAAAGCUAUUUAGGUAGCGCCUCGGACGAAUACUACUGGGGGUAGAGCACUGUUAAGGCUAGGGGGUCAUCCCGACUUACCAACCCUUUGCAAACUCCGAAUACCAGUAAGUACUAUCCGGGAGACACACGGCGGGUGCUAACGUCCGUCGUGGAGAGGGAAACAACCCAGACCGCCAGCUAAGGUCCCAAAUUACUACUAAGUGGGAAACGAUGUGGGAAGGCUCAGACAGCCAGGAUGUUGGCUUAGAAGCAGCCAUCAUUUAAAGAAAGCGUAAUAGCUCACUGGUCGAGUCGGCCUGCGCGGAAGAUGUAACGGGGCUAAGUAGUAAACCGAAGCUGCGGCAAUGCACUUUAGUGCAUUGGGUAGGGGAGCGUUCUGUAAGCGGUUGAAGGUGUGUGGUAACGCAUGCUGGACGUAUCAGAAGUGCGAAUGCUGACAUGAGUAACGAUAAAGGGGGUGAAAAACCUCCUCGCCGGAAGACCAAGGGUUCCUGUCCAACGUUAAUCGGGGCAGGGUAAGUCGACCCCUAAGGCGAGGCCGAAAGGCGUAGUCGAUGGGAAACGGGUUAAUAUUCCCGUACUUCUUACAAUUGCGAUGGGGGGACGGAGAAGGCUAGGUGGGCCUGGCGACGGUUGUCCAGGUUCAAGUGCGUAGGCUGAGAAAUUAGGUAAAUCCGGUUUCUCUUAAGGCUGAGACACGACGUCGAGCUACUACGGUAGUGAAGUCAUUGAUGCCAUGCUUCCAGGAAAAGCCUCUAAGCUUCAGAUUGUAAGGAAUCGUACCCCAAACCGACACAGGUGGUCGGGUAGAGAAUACCAAGGCGCUUGAGAGAACUCGGGUGAAGGAACUAGGCAAAAUGGUACCGUAACUUCGGGAGAAGGUACGCUCUCGACGGUGAAGUCCCUUGCGGAUGGAGCUAUUGAGAGUCGCAGAUACCAGGUGGCUGCAACUGUUUAUUAAAAACACAGCACUGUGCAAAAUCGUAAGAUGACGUAUACGGUGUGACGCCUGCCCGGUGCCGGAAGGUUAAUUGAUGGGGUUAGACUUCGGUCGAAGCUCUUGAUCGAAGCCCCGGUAAACGGCGGCCGUAACUAUAACGGUCCUAAGGUAGCGAAAUUCCUUGUCGGGUAAGUUCCGACCUGCACGAAUGGCGUAAUGAUGGCCACGCUGUCUCCACCCGAGACUCAGUGAAAUUGAAAUCGCUGUGAAGAUGCAGUGUACCCGCGGCUAGACGGAAAGACCCCGUGAACCUUUACUACAGCUUGGCACUGAACAUUGACCCUACAUGUGUAGGAUAGGUGGGAGGCUUUGAAACUAGUACGCCAGUAUUAGUGGAGCCGUCCUUGAAAUACCACCCUUGUAGUGUUGAUGUUCUAACGUCUACCCCUUAUCGGGGUUGCGGACAGUGCCUGGUGGGUAGUUUGACUGGGGCGGUCUCCUCCCAAAGCGUAACGGAGGAGCACGAAGGUGGGCUAAUCACGGUUGGACAUCGUGAGGUUAGUGCAAUGGCAUAAGCCCGCUUGACUGCGAGAAUGACAAUUCGAGCAGGUGCGAAAGCAGGUCAUAGUGAUCCGGUGGUUCUGAAUGGAAGGGCCAUCGCUCAACGGAUAAAAGGUACUCCGGGGAUAACAGGCUGAUACCGCCCAAGAGUUCAUAUCGACGGCGGUGUUUGGCACCUCGAUGUCGGCUCAUCACAUCCUGGGGCUGAAGUCGGUCCCAAGGGUAUGGCUGUUCGCCAUUUAAAGUGGUACGCGAGCUGGGUUUAGAACGUCGUGAGACAGUUCGGUCCCUAUCUGCCGUGGGCGUUGGAAGAUUGAAGGGGGCUGCUCCUAGUACGAGAGGACCGGAGUGGACGAACCUCUGGUGUUCGGGUUGUGUCGCCAGACGCAUUGCCCGGUAGCUAAGUUCGGAAUCGAUAACCGCUGAAAGCAUCUAAGCGGGAAGCGAGCCCUGAGAUGAGUCUUCCCUGAUACUUUAAGUAUCCUAAAGGGUUGUUCGAGACUAGAACGUUGAUAGGCAGGGUGUGUAAGCGUUGUGAGGCGUUGAGCUAACCUGUACUAAUUGCCCGUGAGGCUUAACCAUACAACACCCAAGGGGUUU